GACGAACGCUGGCGGCGUGCUUAACACAUGCAAGUCGAACGGAAAGGCCCUGCUUUUGUGGGGUGCUCGAGUGGCGAACGGGUGAGUAACACGUGAGUAACCUGCCCUUGACUUUGGGAUAACUUCAGGAAACUGGGGCUAAUACCGGAUAGGAGCUCCUGCUGCAUGGUGGGGGUUGGAAAGUUUCGGCGGUUGGGGAGGGACUCGCGGCUUAUCAGCUUGUUGGUGGGGUAGUGGCUUACCAAGGCUUUGACGGGUAGCCGGCCUGAGAGGGUGACCGGCAACAUUGGGACUGAGAUACGGCCCAGACUCCUACGGGAGGCAGCAGUGGGGAAUAUUGCACAAUGGGCGGAAGCCUGAUGCAGCAACGCCGCGUGCGGGAUGACGGCCUUCGGGUUGUAAACCGCUUUCGCCUGUGACGAAGCGUGAGUGACGGUAAUGGGUAAAGAAGCACCGGCUAACUACGUG
RNAcentral lists this ribosomal RNA (468 nucleotides) under uncultured bacterium. RNAcentral describes it as "partial 16S ribosomal RNA". It matches the Rfam family "Bacterial small subunit ribosomal RNA", at positions 28 to 507 of the family's 1533-position model. The record is from RNAcentral.